GCUCAAACUUUAGCACUUUCCUGUUCAGCCACUUAGGGUAAGUGCUACACUGUUUGGGUAG
RNAcentral lists this microRNA precursor (61 nucleotides) under Python bivittatus (Burmese python). Its description in RNAcentral is "Pbv-Mir-430-o39_pre stem-loop". The record is from RNAcentral. Lineage: Eukaryota; Metazoa; Chordata; Lepidosauria; Squamata; Pythonidae.